AGUGAACGCUGGCGGUAGGCCUAACACAUGCAAGUCGAACGGCAGCACAGUAAGAGCUUGCUCUUACGGGUGGCGAGUGGCGGACGGGUGAGGAAUACAUCGGACUCUACUAUUUCGUGGGGGAUAACGUAGGGAAACUUACGCUAAUACCGCAUACGACCUACGGGUGAAAGCAGGGGAUCUUCGGACCUUGCGCGAUUGACUGAGCCGAUGUCGGAUUAGCUAGUUGGCGGGGUAACGGCCCACCAAGGCGACGAUCCGUAGCUGGUCUGAGAGGAUGAACAGCCAUACUGUAACUGAGACACGGUCCAGACUCCUACGGGAGGCAGCCGUGGGGAAUAUUGGUCAAUGGGCGCAAGCCUGAUCCAGCCAUACCGCGUGGGUGAAGAAGGCCUUCGGGUUGUAAAGCCCUUUUGUUGGGAAAGAAAAGCAGCAGGUUAAUACCCCGCUGUUCUGACGGUACCCAAAGAAUAAGCACCGGCUAACUUCGUG
This 492-nucleotide ribosomal RNA is filed under the name uncultured bacterium. RNAcentral's name for it is "partial 16S ribosomal RNA". It matches the Rfam family "Bacterial small subunit ribosomal RNA", at positions 29 to 507 of the family's 1533-position model. The record is from RNAcentral.